GACGAACGCUGGCGGCGUGCUUAACACAUGCGAGUCGAACGGAAAGGCCCUGCUUUUGUGGGGUGCUAGAGUGGCGAACGGGUGAGUAACACGUGAGUAACCUGCCCUUGACUUUGGGAUAACUUCAGGAAACUGGGGCUAAUACCGGAUAGGAGCUCCUGCUGCAUGGUGGGGGUUGGAAAGUUUCGGCGGUUGGGGAUGGACUCGCGGCUUAUCAGCUUGUUGGUGGGGUAGUGGCUUACCAAGGCUUUGACGGGUAGCCGGCCUGAGAGGGUGACCGGCCACAUUGGGACUGAGAUACGGCCCAGACUCCUACGGGAGGCAGCAGUGGGGAAUAUUGCACAAUGGGCGGAAGCCUGAUGCAGCAACGCCGCGUGCGGGAUGACGGCCUUCGGGUUGUAAACCGCUUUCGCCUGUGACGAAGCGUGAGUGACGGUAAUGGGUAAAGAAGCACCGGCUAACUACGUG
This 468-nucleotide ribosomal RNA is filed under the name uncultured bacterium. Its description in RNAcentral is "partial 16S ribosomal RNA". It matches the Rfam family "Bacterial small subunit ribosomal RNA", at positions 28 to 507 of the family's 1533-position model. The record is from RNAcentral.